GUGCUCCCUUCAGCAGCACACAUACUAAACAUUGGAACAAUACAGUAAUUAUCCUGGCCACUGUGCAAGGAUGACACGCAAAUUUUGUGAAAUAAAAAAAGAGAAA
Molecule: small nuclear RNA, 106 nt
Filed under: Castor canadensis (American beaver)
Lineage: Eukaryota; Metazoa; Chordata; Mammalia; Rodentia; Castoridae
Source: RNAcentral